CUGAACUGAGGGAGUUUAAAUCCCAGAGAGACACCAGCAAUGUGCAUGAAGACUGUCUGUCUGUUUUGGGGAGAUUAGACCUGAUGAAACCCAGGAGUUCGCCUGAAUUCUGGAAGGAGCUUCCUGGUCUUAAUCAUCCAGUCCAGCCCAAGACACAGACACACACAAAAGAUGCCCUCUCUC
Sardina pilchardus (European sardine) is the source of this 183-nucleotide long non-coding RNA. RefSeq lists it as uncharacterized. NCBI's taxonomy places the organism in Eukaryota, Metazoa, Chordata, Actinopteri, Clupeiformes, Clupeidae. The record is from RefSeq and is a predicted model, not a curated record. The transcript has 3 exons.